GGUUCUGCGAGGGGAGAGGUGGGGCUGGCUGGAGGCACACAGAAUCAGGACCUUACCAAUUAUGAGAUUUGCUGUUCCGCGUUCUCCACUAGGCAUUUGGACUCAGAACAUUCACUGCCUCAGGGGACAGACGACCCACCAGAAGUUAGAAGUUGGUUCUUGUCUUCUGAGUGUCAAACACUGAUGCCUGUUGCCCAUCGAAACUGGCAGACCCUAGCAAACCACAGUCCAGGAGCCUUGCUGAACACAUUACCAGCCCUGCAGUCCUGGUGUUCUUCUUACACUUCCUGUCAU
This is a long non-coding RNA of Bos indicus x Bos taurus (hybrid cattle), 294 nucleotides long. NCBI's taxonomy places the organism in Eukaryota, Metazoa, Chordata, Mammalia, Artiodactyla, Bovidae. The record is from Ensembl.